RNAcentral lists this transfer RNA (68 nucleotides) under Coccocrater sp. MNHN-IM-2013-41044. Its description in RNAcentral is "tRNA-Ala". The record is from RNAcentral. Lineage: Eukaryota; Metazoa; Mollusca; Gastropoda; Cocculinidae.
GGUAAUAUACUUUAAUAACAAAAGACUCGAUUUGCAUUCGAAAAAUAGAAUACAUUUUCUUAUUACCA